This is an RNA transcript of Leptidea sinapis, 1998 nucleotides long. RefSeq lists it as uncharacterized. NCBI's taxonomy places the organism in Eukaryota, Metazoa, Arthropoda, Insecta, Lepidoptera, Pieridae. The transcript has 10 exons. The record is from RefSeq and is a predicted model, not a curated record.
CGCUCAGAAUAGAUCAGGAGCGAACUGCGGAAGUACGGUGAAAGCUACAGAAUAGUCUCGGCUAACAGUUGCGUCGGCACGCCGCGCUCUUUGCGUUUGACGCUUUUUUAACUCAGUAGAUAGAUUAUUUAUACCGUAAGAUGCAUGCAACUGACGAUAGGAAGUGACAGACGAUUAUCUUGCUGGACGGCUACCAUAGUGAGCGAAGUCGGAGUUUGGACGAUGUGUGCCAUGCAGUGUGCGCUAUCUCCGUGGCAGGGGCGAGCGGAAUGCGGCGUGGUGCUGCAGUGCGUUUUGGAGCGGAUGAGCGCUGAGGGCCUCGAUGGUGACGAGGGGGUGGCAGGGGAGGCGGGGCGAGCGGUGCUGAGGUUCGGGGCGGUAUGCCGCGAUUGGCGCCGCGCCGCGCUCGACUCUGCGCUGUGGCGCCGCCUGGUGGCACCGCGCGUAACACCCGUCGCUCUGCGAACGCUAGCGGAUGCGCGCGCUCUAUCCCUCGACCACGUGGAGUGGAGCUGGAAGGUGGAAGGCCUGCUGUGUCUGGCGGAAUGGCGGCAGAGGGGGCGGCUGGGGAGCGCGGAGAGUGCGCCACUGGUGCAUGCUGCACUGGACCCACCUGGUUACCACCUGGCUGUGCUUUCUGAAGAUGGCCAACUCCGUAUCUGGGAGCAUGUAAGUAAGCAGGCUGACGAGGAUUGGGUGGAGCGUUGUAACUUACGAGUAAGUGGAGAGUGGCGGGGUGGGGGCCGAGUGUGUUGGGGACCGCAGAGCGCGGGGCGCAGGGGCCGUACACUUCUGGUGAGCGGUUCACUGCUGCUAGCCGAACGGUGCGAGGUGCAGCUGUUGCACAUCACAGAUCAGUAUGACAUUCGGGUGUUGUGUCGCGGCACCUGCUCUCUUGGCACGGAGCCCUGCUGGUGGGACCACUCUGCCUUCCUUACUCUGCGCGUGCAGUUGCUGGCACCCGGACUGGCCUGCACUACCGUUUGGCUGAACUCAGUUACCCAGGAGAGUCACUCGGAGCACGCUGGUGUGAUGAUGCCGCUACUAAGAAUAUUCAAUGAGGCGGGAGCCAAUAUCUCACAUAUGUUGAUUGCAGAUACUCCAAUAUCCUCCAGAACGUUUCUAGAUGAGCGCAGUAAAGCAGAUUUGGAAGAUGUCAACACGCCUAAUGCUAACUAUUACUGGACUAUACUAACAGCACAGAUUGACAAGGUAAGCGAGCGUGUGCUGGUAGUGGCGGGAGGCAGUCGGGGCGGCGCUCGCGGUGAGGCUCGCGCGCUGCUCGCGUGGCUCGUGCCGCCCGAGCUGGCGCUGCCGCCGGUGCACGUGGCCGAGCCGCUCGCCGAGCGAGUGGCGCGCCGAGCCCGCGAGCGCGUGGACGCCGUCGAGCUGAGCGAGCCGCCGCCAGAGCACGCGGUGCGAGCGCUGUGCGAGUCGCCCGCACACACACUCGUGCUUGGUGCGCCCGUUACUGGACUGCGACUGCAUUCAAACGGUCGAUGCGUGUGGGCGGCGUCGCGAGCCGGCGUUGACUGUGCGGCGCUGCCGAGCCUCACACGGCUGCUGCACUUGCCACCUCCCCCCAUGCCUGCCCCCACGACAUCCACCCCCCUCUACCGUGUGCAGCUCGACGUUGGUGCGGAUUACAUUGUCUGUCCCGCGGGUGACGGCUCGGGUACAGUCUUCGUGUGGACGCUGCUCGGUGGACGCUGCCCAGCGUCGCGCCCCCUCUCGCACCACUCGCUCGUGCUCGGCGCGCUGCUCACCUCCCGCCGCUCGCUGCUCACACUCACAGCUGACGCCGUACAUGUCUGGAAGACUAUGACACCGGUCGACCUUCACCUAAGUAAAGAUUAAACUUAAAUAUAUUAUGUACUUACACAAAUAACUGAUAAGAAUAUUGUAUAAAAAUAUUUAUUUCUACAUGUUGAACAUAACUCUACACACACCGAUAAAAAGAAAGUACGUUGCUCCAAAAUAUAACGAUUUAAUAUUUUU